Molecule: ribosomal RNA, 254 nt
Filed under: uncultured bacterium
Lineage: Bacteria
Description: partial 16S ribosomal RNA
Rfam family: Bacterial small subunit ribosomal RNA
Source: RNAcentral
UACGGGGGGAGCAAGCGUUGUUCGGAUUUACUGGGCGUAAAGGGCGCGUAGGCGGUCGUGACAAGUCACUUGUGAAAUCUCCGGGCUUAACCCGGAAAGGUCAAGUGAUACUGUCGGACUAGAGUACAGAAGGGGCAACUGGAAUUCUCGGUGUAGCGGUGAAAUGCGCAGAUAUCAGGAGGAACACCAAUGGCGAAGGCAGCUCGCUGGGACGGUACUGACGCUGAGACGCGAAAGCGUGGGGAGCAAACAGG